AUGUCUUCGCCGAGCAGAGUGGGAGGAGGAGUUCAGGUAGGUGAUUGCAAUGGUCAUAAUGAUACACCAAUUGGCUCUCGUUGUCCUGGUGGUAAGGAUCGUGGUGGUGAGGGAGGACAUCAAGUGAAUUCUCCAAUUGAAUCUUCUCCCAUAAGUGUGGCCCCUCCUUCUGAGGGUGAUGUUGGUGUGAGCUUUGACCAGAGACAUCCCGUCUUGAUAGAAACACAAUCGUACUCUGUUGAUGGUACAGAGGAAGUUACACAGGAGUGGAUGGUCUCAGAACAGCUUCGUGCACAUAAAUUGAAGCAAAGCAAGAAGAAGUUGAGGUUUGGAAGUGACUCAAAAGAGUGUGCGGAGAAGGAGAAGCAUAGGAGAGCUGCAGAUGGUGCUAAGGACGCAAUGACUGUGGUUCAUCUAAGAGUCUACCCAAGCGUGCCCGUGAUGAUGUCGAUGAAGGUGUUGGUGCUGACUCUGGCAAGGAGGCGUAUGUUGUUCCAAAGGAAGAAGUCUAGUAAGAGCAACGCAACUGAAGAUCAUGCCGAGGGAGAUGAUUCUCGAUUUAACAAGACCAUACGUUUGUCGCUUCCCACUGUUUGCAAGGCUGCUGCUUUAUUGAAAGACGCACACUAUAGUCGUGUUCAGGAUGCUGCAUUCGGUGUUGUCUUUGAACUGACAGUAAAGAAAAAUGUUUCACGCAUUCUUAUGUGCUAUCUGAUGGGAGUGAUUGACCCUACCACCAUGAUAAUGGACUUUGGGAAUGGCAGGGUCCUUCGAAUCAAUCGUGAUGCAGUUCAUCACAUUUUUUAUUUACCUAUGGGACAUCACACUGCACCCACGCCUGCUGCCAGCGGCCAUGAUGACUCAUUGACUACCCUCAAGGAUGAGCUUGGCUUUGACUGUUCAAAAAGUAUAGGUGUCAAGGACUUGCUUGAGAAUCUAAAGGUGUUGGUGGUGGAAGAUGAUCAUGUGAUUAUUGAUCUUGCUAUGAAGGUGUUCUUCCUGAUACUUUACCAGAAUUUGAUGUGCCCCGGGCCUGCAGUUUCUUUGGGUAGAGUUGCUGCAAUGGUACAGAACAUGGAUUAUGUGGCUAUGGCGCAGAUGGACUUUUGCCAGCUUGUUGUUGAUGAGUUGAAGGCAUCUAUGCUUCGCAAAUUUUCAGUUAUGCACAUGUUGACGCCAUGUGUGUCAUACAUGACGACCAAGGACCUGGUGAAGUUAUACUAUGAGGAUGUGCUUGUCAAGGGAACGAUUUACUUGGAAACAUACAAAUUUGGGAACCUGCCGUGGAAGGCGUCAUGUGAUAUUGUGUGCAACCGUCGUGCUGAAGUUGUAUGUGGCAGCUUUGAUGCGAGGCCUAGCACUCAUGCUAGGUUUUAUGAGCCUAUCUGUAGUCAGCUUCCUGCCUGUGAUCAUGAGGUGUUGCGUAAUCGUGGUUUCACGGCUCAUCAGAUGUUUGAUAAUAGAAGCUCUUCUAAACAGACAUUUGUUUGCAGCAAAAAACACGAGGAGAUCGAUGAGCUUCUUUUGAAGGCUGGAGUGGAAUCUUCUGGUGUCCAUCAAUCUAGGGAUGAUGGAAUUGGUCAGACUGGAGUUUCUGCUUGUGAUGUGCACAAAGAUUCCUACGAUGGCUCUGGGAAGGAUGAGGUCUUGGCUGAAGCAUCGUCCCCUCCGGAUGUUGUAGAUGAUGAGUCUUUGGCAGAAGUGAACUGCAGUUCUUUUUCACAUGCAUGUGUUGAUGCUUAUGCAUCGGUUGCCUUUGACGGUGCAGAUCCUUCUGUAGCUCAGGAAUUCCAUCAUGCUAUUUCCCCUAGUCGGCAUGAAGAUUCUGAUUUUGUCAUUGAAAAGCCAUUGGAGAAUGUCGUUCCUGCUGGUAGUGUUGCUGCUUCUCCUGUUUGUCUGGCGGCCAACGAUGUUCCUGAAGUAUCCAUAAUGGAGCCUCAUGUAGCUGAAGUAUCUAAGGACGUUGCAGUUGACCAGACUGUUGUAAAUCCAGAGAAUGCUGAUGUUGCUACAGAAGGGGACAUGAUUGCUUUUAAAACUGAGAUGGCUGAUAUUACCAUUGGCGAAGUUGGUCAAUCUUUUUGGGAUAAAGGGAUGCUCACCACAGGUCUUGUAGAUCUUGGGGUUUCUUUGCUGGUAGAUAAGUUCAAGGGAUCUCUGACGAUGGUUGUCCCGUACCAUAUUUGUACAAGUAUUUGGCAUGGUGGUACUGUAGGCAGGAGUGUUAAAAUGAUGUUCUCUUCAAAAGCCGAGGAACGUGUUGAUAAAAAAGAUAUGCCGGAUGCGGUCAGGAUUUUUAGGAGGAUGGUUAAAAAUAUCAAGCGUGCAUGGAAAGAAGGCAUGAUUGUGUAUUCUAUAUGUUUCAAUUCUUUCAGAUUUGGGAUGGUGCUUGAGUUGCUCAGUUUGGGGUGGAGCACAUUGGCUACAUCAGAAAGGCCAUGCUCUAUAGUUGGCUCACAUCGAGAAAGUUUUGAUGGGGGGCUCCAUGAAGGUUGUACGUCACUGUUUGAGUCCCAGGGUUCUGAGGUGGCUAUGGAGGAUUGUGCCAUUGAAAUCUCUCCGAAUAAUUCUGGUUCUUUGGCUGGAGAUGGUUUGAACAUAGAUGUGGCGUCUGGACCUGAUGGUGGAAGUGUUUCUCGACUUAGCUCUCCACACGAUGUUUUUGAUGUUGAUGAUGAUGAUUUUGUUAUGUCGUGCCUACGCAUCACUAGGACUAGGAGUGCAGCAAUUAAUCGUCCUCCUGUGGAUGAGGCUGAAGUAUUUUCGAACAAGAGGGUAGGUGAGAGGGCUUUUAAGUUGAGAUGUUCUAUAGAGAAAUUGAAGCCUCCGAGGUUCAAAUAUAUUGAUGAGGCGAGGAAAAUAAAGGAUCUUGUUCUCAGCAAAGAUUUUGUAACCAAAUACCACGAGAAUUCGUUCUUUAUGAUGAAUAGUCCUUUUGGUGAUGUCGAAAAUUACAAUGUUGACUAUAUCUAUAAUACAUUUGGCAAAGGAGCUUUAAUAGACUCGUAUCUCAUGGAUUUUGUCAUCAAGUACUGGAAGCAAGAGCCUGAAUUGGGUUUAGUUUAUCGUUCUAGUGAACGUGUGCUACUUUCACCUUUUAUUUAUCAUGUUGUACAUAGCCCGUUUGUUUUAGAAGAUGUAGUUAAGCAGUCCAAGGUUUUUGUGAGCGGCGAUGAAAACCUGCUAGAUGCAAAACUAAUUAUGAUGCCGCACUCCAAGGAUGUUUGUGCUGCCUUUUCUUGCCAGAUGAGGAGGAUGAAUCAGCUGCUGAAGCCGAUUUAUGGUGAAAAGUUGUAUAAAUCUAAGAACCACCCUGACUGGCCUGUUGUUGAAGAUUGGAAUGCAGAGUACAUGUUCCAGCUGUUGUUCAAUCCUUCGAACAUGUUGUAUUAUGAAGACAUGUCACCUAACCUAUGA
This 3417-nucleotide ribosomal RNA is filed under the name Triticum aestivum (bread wheat). RNAcentral's name for it is "partial small subunit ribosomal RNA". The record is from RNAcentral. Lineage: Eukaryota; Viridiplantae; Streptophyta; Magnoliopsida; Poales; Poaceae.